GGGAUACCCAAAAUGGGAGCACUUUCCCUUUUGUCUGUGCUGGGAAGUGCUUCGAUUUUGGGGUGUCCC
This is a microRNA precursor of Cercocebus atys (sooty mangabey), 69 nucleotides long. The record is from Ensembl. NCBI's taxonomy places the organism in Eukaryota, Metazoa, Chordata, Mammalia, Primates, Cercopithecidae.